GGCGUACGGGGCGGGGGGGCGGUAGCCCCCCCCCCCAGUUUUUUGGGCAGUCGGGCAAUUUCCCAGUUUUUUGGGCAGUCGGGCAAUAUUCGAUCAACAGUCGGGCAAUUUUGGUUUGCAAUUAAAAAAGUGGGACAAAUUCUGUCAAUUUUGUCUAAAAUUAAGUAAAUUUUUUGGCAAAUUUUGUGAUUUUUGGAAAAUUGGUGUUAUGUUCCGAAAAAUAUUGGUUGUCCGGAAAAUUUUUUUGACCCCUAAAAUGGUACACUGACCGAAAUUUUUUUGGCGACGGGGGGGGGGGUUGGAGGUCGCCAAAAUAAUUUUUCCGAAAAAAAUUUUUUGGGCAAUGUGGAAUUUUUUGGGCAAAAAAGCUACCGCCCCCCCAGAAUUUAGCGGCCCCGUACGCCUAUG
Paramuricea clavata is the source of this 408-nucleotide non-coding RNA. The record is from the annotation of a GenBank genome assembly. Lineage: Eukaryota; Metazoa; Cnidaria; Anthozoa; Malacalcyonacea; Plexauridae.